CAAGGCUUUAGCUUAAUAAAAGUGUUUGAGUUGCAUUCAGGAGAUAUGGAGUAGACAUCCAUAAGUCUUA
RNAcentral lists this transfer RNA (70 nucleotides) under Anolis valencienni. RNAcentral describes it as "tRNA-Ala". It matches the Rfam family "tRNA". Rfam says of the family: Transfer RNA (tRNA) molecules are approximately 80 nucleotides in length. Their secondary structure includes four short double-helical elements and three loops (D, anti-codon, and T loops). The record is from RNAcentral. Lineage: Eukaryota; Metazoa; Chordata; Lepidosauria; Squamata; Anolidae.